GAAUAGUUAAUCAGGGGGAUUAGCACUCGGGCCCGUGGGAAGGUAGCCACGGCCAUCCUGAGUGCCCCUUGGAGCUGCUUAAUAGCGGUCUCCUUAACUUUCUGCUCACGAUGGUUGAUCCCAAAGGCUAGAACCAACACUUCAACCGGUGCAGCAAUUACGGUCUUGCGUAGGAUGGCCUCCGCGUGUCUAAAACUGGCGCCCGGGUAACUGUCGAUCUGAAGGUCGUCGACGUAAAAAGGUGGUAGGUGGGACAGAUUGGAGUCGCCGAUCACCAAGAAUUUCUUGUUGGCCGACAACUUCCAAUCCAUCAUCCUCCUACUCGAGACCAUGUGUCUAGUGGGUCUACGGGGGGAGGCACUAGUCGUAUCCUCUACCAACUCGACACAUUCUGGAAUAGACAGGUGUUGUGGAGUAUCUGGGACGGAAGGCCUCUUGUGUGGCUUCCUUUUUAGUGCCCCAGGGAACAAAUGUGCCCAAUCGGGGGACUCCUGAGGAAGCAUCUCCUGAGGGGGCGUCUCCUGAGGAGGCGUCCGCUGCAAGGGCUGGAGAGGGGACCAGUCGGGGGUCGCGGAAGAGUAACGAGGGGACAUCACCGAAGAAAGCCCCCGCUCCUGUUCUUCAUCCCGAAAGUCGAUCAGGAGAGGCGAGGAGACCGUGGGUCCCCCUGGUGAUCCCAGAGGAAGCCUCCUGCGAGAUGCAGGAAUAAGCUGGGUGGGCGGAGCCUCGCCGAGGGUGUCCUGGGCAGGCCCGCUGUCCGUGGCCCGGGGCUGUGUCACCCUCUGCUCCUUGGGUGGUUCCGGUCGACGAGGAAGGAAGAUCGGGGCAACCCGUGCUGGAGGGAUUGCAUCCCGAUCCACCUCAGGAGACCAAUCUGGAGCCACGGCGUCGGUGCUGGUAGCCACCGAGACCCGGGCGACGACCCGAGCCGGAGGGCUGCUAGCCCGUACCACCCCAGGAGCCCCGUCAGGGCCCGUAGGGUCAGUAUGGGUGCCCACCGAUACCCGGGUGGCGGUCUGGACCGGCAAGGACUGGGCCGGGCGUACCACCUCCGCGUUGACAGGGGGGUCGGCGAAGGCCGCGACGAUCAGAGCCUCGGCCUUCCCGAGGGUGUCCCCCAUCAGUCUGCGUCCCAGAUGUUUCUUGGCCCAUGUAGAGGCCAGCUGAAAAGCGGGUCUCCAAACCUCGUCAA
This is a long non-coding RNA of Nerophis lumbriciformis (worm pipefish), 1192 nucleotides long. RefSeq lists it as uncharacterized. The record is from RefSeq and is a predicted model, not a curated record. NCBI's taxonomy places the organism in Eukaryota, Metazoa, Chordata, Actinopteri, Syngnathiformes, Syngnathidae.